Molecule: long non-coding RNA, 458 nt
Organism: Corapipo altera (White-ruffed manakin)
Lineage: Eukaryota; Metazoa; Chordata; Aves; Passeriformes; Pipridae
Exons: 4
Source: RefSeq, a predicted model, not a curated record
CCACCUUGGAAAUGUUUUCUUGUCUCAUCCCCAUGAAUAGGCAAAUGAAGCUGUGAACUCACAGGGAGGGAUUGAGCUGCUGUCAUCCUCUUCCUUGCGACCCAUCUCCUCCAGAGUGGAAGCAGGGAACGCUGUGAGGAAGAGGAGGAGGAAGAGAGAUUGCCUUUGCUCUGAGUCACAACCUUCCCCUCUCCUCUGUGAUUCCACGAAGGGGAGCCCAGCUCUGAGUGCCCUGAGAGCAGUGGUGGGAGCAGCCCACCAAAAAUGCAGCUUCCUGGAGCCACCCCAGCUCUGCAAGAGGUGUUCAGGUGUGUGUCACCAGCGUUGGAGGGUGUAACUGCAGCAAACCUGAUCAUCCACCCAUCCCUAAUCUACAGAUGUGGAAUAUCACGAAAAGAGAAUUUUCUGGCAGAGACAUUCAGCUGGUGGUGAAAGGUGAGUUUUUUCCACUUGAAAUA